This 1665-nucleotide ribosomal RNA is filed under the name Escherichia coli. RNAcentral's name for it is "partial 23S ribosomal RNA". It matches the Rfam family "Bacterial large subunit ribosomal RNA", at positions 1282 to 2925 of the family's 2925-position model. The record is from RNAcentral. Lineage: Bacteria; Pseudomonadati; Pseudomonadota; Gammaproteobacteria; Enterobacterales; Enterobacteriaceae.
UCAGAAGUGCGAAUGCUGACAUAAGUAACGAUAAAGCGGGUGAAAAGCCCGCUCGCCGGAAGACCAAGGGUUCCUGUCCAACGUUAAUCGGGGCAGGGUGAGUCGACCCCUAAGGCGAGGCCGAAAGGCGUAGUCGAUGGGAAACAGGUUAAUAUUCCUGUACUUGGUGUUACUGCGAAGGGGGGACGGAGAAGGCUAUGUUGGCCGGGCGACGGUUGUCCCGGUUUAAGCGUGUAGGCUGAUUUUCCAGGCAAAUCCGGAAAAUCAAGGCUGAGGCGUGAUGACGAGGCACUACGGUGCUGAAGCAACAAAUGCCCUGCUUCCAGGAAAAGCCUCUAAGCAUCAGGUAACAUCAAAUCGUACCCCAAACCGACACAGGUGGUCAGGUAGAGAAUACCAAGGCGCUUGAGAGAACUCGGGUGAAGGAACUAGGCAAAAUGGUGCCGUAACUUCGGGAGAAGGCACGCUGAUAUGUAGGUGAAGCGACUUGCUCGUGGAGCUGAAAUCAGUCGAAGAUACCAGCUGGCUGCAACUGUUUAUUAAAAACACAGCACUGUGCAAACACGAAAGUGGACGUAUACGGUGUGACGCCUGCCCGGUGCCGGAAGGUUAAUUGAUGGGGUUAGCGGUAACGCGAAGCUCUUGAUCGAAGCCCCGGUAAACGGCGGCCGUAACUAUAACGGUCCUAAGGUAGCGAAAUUCCUUGUCGGGUAAGUUCCGACCUGCACGAAUGGCGUAAUGAUGGCCAGGCUGUCUCCACCCGAGACUCAGUGAAAUUGAACUCGCUGUGAAGAUGCAGUGUACCCGCGGCAAGACGGAAAGACCCCGUGAACCUUUACUAUAGCUUGACACUGAACAUUGAGCCUUGAUGUGUAGGAUAGGUGGGAGGCUUUGAAGUGUGGACGCCAGUCUGCAUGGAGCCGGCCUUGAAAUACCACCCUUUAAUGUUUGAUGUUCUAACGUUGGCCCCUGAUCGGGGUUGCGGACAGUGUCUGGUGGGUAGUUUGACUGGGGCGGUCUCCUCCUAAAGAGUAACGGAGGAGCACGAAGGUUGGCUAAUCCUGGUCGGACAUCAGGAGGUUAGUGCAAUGGCAUAAGCCAGCUUGACUGCGAGCGUGACGGCGCGAGCAGGUGCGAAAGCAGGUCAUAGUGAUCCGGUGGUUCUGAAUGGAAGGGCCAUCGCUCAACGGAUAAAAGGUACUCCGGGGAUAACAGGCUGAUACCGCCCAAGAGUUCAUAUCGACGGCGGUGUUUGGCACCUCGAUGUCGGCUCAUCACAUCCUGGGGCUGAAGUAGGUCCCAAGGGUAUGGCUGUUCGCCAUUUAAAGUGGUACGCGAGCUGGGUUUAGAACGUCGUGAGACAGUUCGGUCCCUAUCUGCCGUGGGCGCUGGAGAACUGAGGGGGGCUGCUCCUAGUACGAGAGGACCGGAGUGGACGCAUCACUGGUGUUCGGGUUGUCAUGCCAAUGGCACUGCCCGGUAGCUAAAUGCGGAAGAGAUAAGUGCUGAAAGCAUCUAAGCACGAAACUUGCCCCGAGAUGAGUUCUCCCUGAGACUUAGAGUCUCCUGAAGGAACGUUGAAGACGACGACGUUGAUAGGCCGGGUGUGUAAGCGCAGCGAUGCGUUGAGCUAACCGGUACUAAUGAACCGUGAGGCUUAACCUU